This 253-nucleotide ribosomal RNA is filed under the name uncultured bacterium. Its description in RNAcentral is "partial 16S ribosomal RNA". It matches the Rfam family "Bacterial small subunit ribosomal RNA", at positions 524 to 776 of the family's 1533-position model. The record is from RNAcentral.
UACGUAGGAGACGAGCGUUGUCCGGAAUUACUGGGCGUAAAGCGCGUGUAGGCGGAUGAGCAAGUCUGCUGUGAAAGCUCCUGGCUUAACCGGGAGUGGUCGGUGGAAACUGCUCGGCUGGAGGGCGGUAGAGGUAGGUAGAAUUCCCGGUGUAGUGGUGAAAUGCGUAGAGAUCGGGAGGAAUACCUGUGGCGAAGGCGGCCUACUGGGCCGGACCUGACGCUGAGACGCGAAGGCGUGGGGAGCGAACGGG